RNAcentral lists this ribosomal RNA (460 nucleotides) under uncultured bacterium. Its description in RNAcentral is "bacterial SSU rRNA". It matches the Rfam family "Bacterial small subunit ribosomal RNA", at positions 28 to 523 of the family's 1533-position model. The record is from RNAcentral.
GAUUAACGCUGGCGGUAUGCAUAACACAUGCAAGUCGAGCGAGAAAGUUCCUUCGGGAGCGAGUACAGCGGCGAACGGGUGAGUAACACGUUGGAACCUACCUCUAACUCAGGGAUAGCCCACUGAAAAGUGGAUUAAUACCGGAUAGUCCCUUCGGGGUAAAGAUUUUUCGGUUAGAGAUGGUCCUGCGGACUAUCAGCUUGUUGGUGAGGUAAUGGCUCACCAAGGCGAUGACGGUUAGCUGGUCUGAGAGGAUGAUCAGCCACAAUGGGACUGAGACACGGCCCAUACUCCUACGGGAGGCAGCAGUGAGGAAUUUUGCGCAAUGGGGGAAACCCUGACGCAGCAAUACCGCGUGGAGGAUGACGGCUCUAGGGUUGUAAACUCCUUUUAUCUGGGAAGAAUUUUGACGGUACCAGAUGAAUAAGUCACGGCUAACUACGUGCCAGCGCCGCGGUAA